Molecule: ribosomal RNA, 294 nt
Filed under: uncultured bacterium
Lineage: Bacteria
Description: partial 16S ribosomal RNA
Rfam family: Bacterial small subunit ribosomal RNA
Source: RNAcentral
UGGGUAGGAAGUUUCGGCGGUUGGGAUGGACUCGCGGCUUAUCAGCUUGUUGGUGGGGUAGUGGCUUACCAAGGCUUUGACGGGUAGCCGGCCUGAGAGGGUGACCGGCCACAUUGGGACUGAGAUACGGCCCAGACUCCUACGGGAGGCAGCAGUGGGGAAUAUUGCACAAUGGCGGAAGCCUGAUGCAGCAACGCCGCGUGCGGGAUGACGGCCUUCGGGUUGUAAACCGCUUUCGCCUGUGACGAAGCGUGAGUGACGGUAAUGGGUAAAGAAGCACCGGCUAACUACGUG